RNA transcript from Canis lupus familiaris (dog), 5580 nucleotides. It is a transcript of the gene named protein kinase AMP-activated non-catalytic subunit beta 2, with no coding region annotated. The record is from RefSeq and is a predicted model, not a curated record. NCBI's taxonomy places the organism in Eukaryota, Metazoa, Chordata, Mammalia, Carnivora, Canidae. The transcript has 9 exons.
ACGCGCGCGGGGCGGGCCUGGCGCCCCUGGCCUCGUAGCCAUUUUAGGAGGAAACCCGGAUCUCCAGCCCGGGGCGCGGCUUCAAUUUCAAUAACUUUAUUGGUGGACGUAACCGCAGAACAGCCAUCUCGCGAGUGGCUAGGGGAGGAGGAAGAGCAUCGCGGGAGGUGGCCCCCGACUCGAGCUACAGCCAUGGGAAACACCACCAGCGACCGGGUGGCUGGCGAGCGCCACGGCGCCAAGGCUUCUCGCGCCGAGGGCGCCGGCGGCCACGCGCCGGGCAAGGAGCACAAGAUCAUGGUGGGGAGUACGGACGACCCCAGCGUCUUCAGCCUGCCGGACCCCAAGCUCCCUGGGGACAAAGAGUUUGUAUCAUGGCAACAGGAUUUGGAGGACUCCGUAAAGCCCACACAGCAGGCUCGGCCCACUGUUAUCCGAUGGUCUGAAGGAGGCAAAGAGGUCUUCAUCUCUGGGUCCUUCAACAAUUGGAGCACCAAGAUUCCACUGAUUAAGAGCCAUAAUGACUUUGUUGCCAUCUUAGACCUCCCUGAGGGAGAGCACCAGUACAAGUUUUUCGUGGAUGGACAGUGGGUUCAUGAUCCGUCAGAGCCUGUGGUUACCAGUCAGCUUGGCACAAUUAACAAUUUGAUCCAUGUCAAGAAAUCUGACUUUGAGGUGUUUGAUGCUUUAAAACUAGAUUCAAUGGAAAGCUCGGAGACAUCUUGUCGAGACCUUUCCAGCUCUCCCCCAGGGCCUUAUGGUCAAGAAAUGUAUGUAUUUCGAUCCGAGGAGAGAUUCAAAUCCCCACCCAUCCUACCUCCUCACCUUCUUCAAGUUAUUCUUAACAAGGACACUAAUAUUUCUUGUGACCCAGCCUUGCUUCCUGAGCCCAAUCAUGUUAUGCUGAACCAUCUCUAUGCAUUGUCCAUUAAGAUAAAAGAAAAUAAGGCUCAGAGAAGGUCAUAAUGCCAGUAAGUACCAGAGAGAGGACGGAGGUCCUCCUGUCCUCAUUCCAUGUUCUUUCCUAGAGAUCACUGCUUCAGGUCUUUCCAAGACAGUGUGAUGGUCCUUAGUGCAACCCAUCGCUACAAGAAGAAGUAUGUCACUACUCUGCUGUACAAGCCUAUCUGAAGGGAUCCCUUCCUGGCUCCCAGGAUUUAAGAGAAGCACCUCCCUUGCCUUUCUGGACUGGAUCAGUCUUACUUAAGACUGGAAGGCUAAUUUGCUUUGAGGCUGAUAUGUGUGUUUCAGAGCCUUUGAGUAGGAUGCUCUGCUUUUGCAUUUGAUUGCAGACGAGAGCUUUAUGAGUUCAUGGAAUUUAUUUUUAAGAAAAAAAAUUAUAUAUAUAUAUAUAUAGACAUAUAUAUAUACAUCUAUGAGAGGAAAGUUAAUGGAAGCCUCCUAGCUAGAUGUGUUCUCUCUGCCUAUGGGGCCUCGCCAAGACCAGUUUGGGGGAGCUGCAGGAAGAACCAUUAAAGGAAGCUUUUUUCCUAGAAUGAAUGAAGAGCCAACUCUCAGGAUCCUUGUUGGGUAGAGAUUCUACUGCUACCUUAGCUUUCCAAGGGAUGGGCUCGUGCCAGACAUCUGCCCUCCUUUCAGGGGCAGCUUUUCUUGCAUGGGUUCUCUGUAUUCCUAGAGUAUGUGGCACAACCUGUGCUUUUUAUACCAGAUGCCCCGCAGGAACCCUUUUUCUUUUCAUUUCACUUCACUUGUUGCUUUGAUAACCUUCAGAUCAUUAUCCCUUUCCUAACACAAAACUCACUGGCAAGUGACCCCUUCUUCCAAAGCUAUGUGAGACGUGACCUACAGCACAGACUAGGGCUGACAGAAAGUCUCCUUUUCUGCCCAGCAUAGGCCUGGGCCACUUUGUUACCACUUGUUUUAAUUCCUAAUAAGGAAAAUAUGUCUCAGCAUUAUAGGAAAGGCAGAGUGCAGAAGGUUGACUUCCUUGUUUUAGCUUAGUGCCAUCAUGGCUCAGGCUGUCCCAGCGCAUUCCCAUAGGUUUUCCCACCAGGCCUGGCCCUGCUUCCAUAUUUUCUUUCACAGAUAGCAUUGAAGGUAGGAGUGAUACCAAGGAAAACUUUAAUGUCUUUCAUCCUUGGGAGAUUUUUAUGUGCCUACAUUUUUCUUUAAUUAAAAAAUGCCUUUUCAUUGUUCUUAAGAGACCGAAUAGGAAAAUUUUAGGCUCUUGAUAAAUGGUUCCCAAGAUUUUCUUCAACAAGAAAGUAGUAAGUAGUCAAGCCUUCUGCAAUCUGACAUUAAUGUGGCCAACCCUGUGCAUGUCACUAUGCUGAACACUGUUCUAGAUACAAAUUCAGGCUCAUUUGGUGCCCCUAAAAAGAUCCUUCAACUUAGAGACUCAAUAGGCCAAGAAGCAAGAAAAUCCCCCCAGGAUUCCUAACCAUGAACAUUAUUGCUUCCCUGCACCAAGUACAAACGGGAUCGUUUUUUUUCUUUUUUAAAAGUGUUUGAUGAAGAAGUGGGGUCAAUGAUUUUCAUUUGUGGAAUGAAAAGUAGCUAUCCAGUCCAGUCUUGGGGUUCAGAGAUAAAACUUUUUCCCAAGUAUCUGUGGCUCUUCUAUUACAGAUAAAUGCAAAUCAAAACACUUAACACUGAAGGAGGCCAAACUUGAUGCUCGAUAGAUACCUGGACUGUUAGGAUGUGUCCAGCCACACCAAAAGGGCGCCCAUAGGUCAGUUUAGCUACCUCCUGUCUUUCCUAUUCAAAGCUGAUUAUACAGUUGUCUUUGGGUGUGUAGACCUUAGAUGCUGGGAUGGAGGCAGUAGGGCACUGGGGUGGUUUUGCUGGGAAUGUAAAUUGCUGAGUGCUUUGAGGGUUACCUGAUGAGAGUAGGUACUGCUUUAGCCACUCAAGGACCCUUCUGCAGUAAAAAGCUCUUGUGGGAAACCUUUUAGGGUCCCAAGCACUUUUUGAGUGGUGUGUUAAAAAUCCAGGCCGAAUCCUAAUGUACUCUCAGGAUCUACAUUGUCUUUAGUUAUACUAUUGUUUUUUCCAAUACCCAUUAAAUAAGUGGGCUACUUAGGAGAAUUCAAAUUCUUGUUACAUGGAGGAUUUUGUUACACUACUAUUUCUUGUCAACAGUAUUGAAGUAUAAUUGCCUAUGUGUUCUGUAUUAAAAUUUUUACACAGAUGUAUCAGUAGAGUGGGACAGGAAAAGUUUCUCAGGCAAGAGGCUUCUGUGAACUAGCUCUGGCUCCAGUGACACUAGGUCUUGGUGCUUGUAGUCUUCAUAUCUUCCAAAUCUGGAUAUGUGCAAAAAGGGUCAGUCUUCUAAAUUCUUAGGUAAUCUCCCAGCCAAAUGUGAAAUGAGCGCCUACCAGCCAGUAUAGAAGAAGACUGGCAAAGGCAACUGGGUGAUGCCUCCUUCAGCACUGUUCCUUCUCUGCCCUGCUAAUAUACCCUAUGGCCCUGAGAAGCCCUAUCACACAUAGUCUGUCCCUAAGAAACAGUUCCAGAAGGUAGAGAGGGAAAGAGGAAGGUAGCCCAGAGUAUAACCAACUCAUUCUUUUAUGUUAGUUAAAGGGAUAGUUUAUUUUCUGCAGAAGAGAGAUUGGCAGAUUUUGAAAAUGAAUAAAGGCAGAAAAAAAAAAACCCUGCUCUUUUAGCCUUUAAAAAAAGUUUACUUUUCUGUGGGUUUUUUUGCUUAUAGGAGUUUCACAGAGUCAAAGAAGAGUUAGAAAAUCACUCUUUAGGAGGGCUAAUCCUUCAAGGACUACAGCAUGAUUUGGGGGUUGUGGGGAAAAGGAAGAGUGACUGAGCUGAGGAAGAUACUAGAAAAUUAAAGGCUUAACUCAGAACUAAAAAUAGCCUUUUUGUUGUUGUUAAUUAAAUGAGAUAUAACAUACUGGUAUCCUUGUAUCUCCGUGUACAGAACCUACUGUAUAAAGCAUCCCAUUGUCUCUUUUUCCUUGUCUCUACCCUUUCUUCUAUAUUCUGCUUUACCUUCGUUUGUAAAACUGACUUUACUAGAGUCUCAGGUCAAACAUUACCUAAAACAAAUGUUAGUCAUUUUGCUGAUAAUGGUCAUGGUUAUUAGCUUGCAUGAAGCUUAGAGUUGAAUGGGAUUGGGUCACUCUGUAACACCCACUAUGGGCAUACCUGGCCUUGAGUGUUGGCUUUUUUUUUUUUUUUUUAACAAUGCUUAUAUGGUAGAGAAACCCUGUAAAAGAAGAAUCCAAGAAGAGAUUCUGAGAGAAUCAUACAAACCCAGGCCUCCCUACAAUUAUUUCUUGUCUCUUGUAUACCUAGUGGAUCUGAGAUAAAACCUUUGCAAAGUGUCAGUACUCUGUGUAUGCUGCUAAAAUGAAGUUAAGUUGGAAUGAAGUGUUACCUCCAGACUGUGCUUAUAUUAAUCUGGGUAUAAAUGAAGGAGACAUACUAAUGAUAGAAAUCUCUGCUUCUAACUGGGGAAAUAGGGCUUUUAAAAUUUUGACCUCAUAUGCAAUGAUAUGCAAUAGUCUAUGUUGUAUGUGUUUGCAAAAUAUUCUCAGAGAUUUCUAAGUCCUCGUGUUCUAGUGAUUCGGGGCAUAGGCUUAUGAGCAGAUAGCACAGUUUGUUCGCACAUUAUUUGGGCUCAUCCUUACAGCCAAGUCCUUGUGGUCUUCUAUCAGGGACUGCUAGCUCCAUGGGAUAGAGCACCUGGGAGUGGUAGGGGUUACGGAGACUCUAGAUCUAGGCAUUUGUUUCUCCAUAAGCACCCAUCAUAGUGGAAGGUUGAGGGGCUCUUGUUUCUGCAGUGAACCCAAAUUUUUGGAGUAAAAGGGCCAAAUCUAUUUUUUAAAACUAUAAGAAGAAGGAAAAGAGAGACAGAAAUCUCAAGAGUCUGUUACUUAAGAAAUCCAAUUCUUAGCAAUGGAAUCCCUAUAGGAUUCAAAUGUGGACUUUGUCUUGAUUUGCUUUUCUCUAUUGUGCUUUGAAGUGAUUUGUUUCAUUAAAAAUGAAGUCUUUUAUUAGUUCCAACACUAGUUGGAGUUGAAUUAAUCGUGUGUAGCACAGUGCUUUUGCAGUAAGAUUGCUGUGAAAUGCCAAACACUGUGGAUUUUGUAGUCAGGUUAAAUGGUCGAAGGAUACCUACCUACCAUAAGUAUUAUAUUAUGUAUUUGAUCAGAUCAUCUUCUUUUCUGUUCCUAUUCACUGAACAUUUACCUUACCUAGGUUACAGUUUUAGAACAGCCAAAGUUCACUGAUGUCAGUUAGUCCUAAUCUCCACACUGGGCCCCAUAUGUGAGACUUGUUUGAAUUUUGGUAGAUUGGAGGAUGCUAGUUAUUAUUUCACUGAAGCAUUUUGGAUGAGUGCAGCUCUCAUAAAAGGGGAAUAAGACUAUAAUUUGGAAGAGAAUUAAAUACGUGAAUCCUCCUUUAAAUGGUGCUUUUUGUAACCUUUAAGUGCUGAGGUACAGAGCUGCUUCUCAGUAUUCCACAAAGGAUUGGCAUACAAGAAUGGAUUUUAAAGCUUUUCCCCAAAUGUAAUUUGUUACUGGACUAUGUGAUGUAACACAUACAGAAAUGUGAGGUUUUUUCCCAUAAAACUGUUGAAUAAAGUAUUAUACAGCAAUAAUA